Molecule: transfer RNA, 85 nt
Organism: Felis catus (domestic cat)
Lineage: Eukaryota; Metazoa; Chordata; Mammalia; Carnivora; Felidae
Rfam family: tRNA
About the family: Transfer RNA (tRNA) molecules are approximately 80 nucleotides in length. Their secondary structure includes four short double-helical elements and three loops (D, anti-codon, and T loops).
Source: Rfam
GCCUGGGUGGCUCAGUUGGUUGAGUGUCCGACUUGGGCUCGGGUCACAAUCUCACAGUUCGUGGGUUCGAGCCCUGCAUCCGGCU